This 495-nucleotide ribosomal RNA is filed under the name uncultured bacterium. RNAcentral describes it as "partial 16S ribosomal RNA". It matches the Rfam family "Bacterial small subunit ribosomal RNA", at positions 28 to 507 of the family's 1533-position model. The record is from RNAcentral.
GACGAACGCUGGCGGCGUGCCUAAUACAUGCAAGUAGAACGCUGAAGGAGGAGCUUGCUUCUCUGGAUGAGUUGCGAACGGGUGAGUAACGCGUAGGUAACCUGCCUGGUAGCGGGGGAUAACUAUUGGAAACGAUAGCUAAUACCGCAUAAUAGCAGUUAUUGCAUGAUAACUGUUUGAAAGUUGCAAUUUCACCACUACCAGAUGGACCUGCGUUGUAUUAGCUAGUUGGUGGGGUAACGGCUCACCAAGGCGACGAUACAUAGCCGACCUGAGAGGGUGAUCGGCCACACUGGGACUGAGACACGGCCCAGACUCCUACGGGAGGCAGCAGUAGGGAAUCUUCGGCAAUGGACGGAAGUCUGAACGAGCAACGCCGCGGGAGUGAAGAAGGUUUUCGGAUCGUAAAGCUCUGUUGUAAGAGAAGAAAGAGUGUGAGAGUGGAAAGUUCACACUGUGACGGUAUCUUACCAGAAAGGGACGGCUAACUACGUG